UAUAUCCUGAAAUGUGCGAUGCCCCUUUUUAAUUUGAACCUACAUCGACACUUAGGGAAUCCAAGAUCGCAGGUUGGAUGUCAGGCCUCUCGUUGUGGAAGGCAGAAGAUUUGUUGAGGAUACCCACCUAGCUUUGGCUAGGCGUCAAAGAAAAGGGAACGGCAUUUCGGGACUACA
RNAcentral lists this non-coding RNA (177 nucleotides) under Eubacteriales bacterium. RNAcentral's name for it is "6S RNA". It matches the Rfam family "6S / SsrS RNA". Rfam says of the family: E. coli 6S RNA was the first non coding RNA to be sequenced, but its function was unknown until recently. It consists of 184 nucleotides that fold into an extended hairpin structure with a large single-stranded internal bulge. The 6S RNA specifically associates with RNA polymerase holoenzyme containing the sigma70 specificity factor. The record is from RNAcentral. Lineage: Bacteria; Bacillati; Bacillota; Clostridia; Eubacteriales.